Ornithorhynchus anatinus (platypus) is the source of this 390-nucleotide long non-coding RNA. RefSeq lists it as uncharacterized. The transcript has 3 exons. The record is from RefSeq and is a predicted model, not a curated record. Lineage: Eukaryota; Metazoa; Chordata; Mammalia; Monotremata; Ornithorhynchidae.
CCAGGCCGGCCAGGUCGCUCCAGUCCACCGGCGGCCCCGGGUUGAUGAUCUCGUUGGUGACCAGGUCGAGGAGAUUCCACCUGGAGGAAAAUUAGGAUGCAACAGGAAGAAAGGAAGCGUAGAGAAUCGUAGAAAGAUGAACAUAGUGGGCAGAGCGUCCGGCAUUUUGUAAAAACGUGGCUGGCAGAGAGAAGGAAGAAACAUCUCGUCCAGAAUUUGAAGAUGUGCUCCUUUCCCGCUAUCACAUACAUCGUUGUAGAGAAAUUUUGUGGGGGAAUCCUGACACCAAAUCAAAGAGUGGGAGACAAGAUGCAGUCCUCAUUGUUCAAGAUCACGGCAGAAAAGGAGGAAAGAGAAAGGCAAGGAAGAGCGGCAUGAGGUGAAAAAAGA